Molecule: transfer RNA, 60 nt
Filed under: Operophtera brumata (winter moth)
Lineage: Eukaryota; Metazoa; Arthropoda; Insecta; Lepidoptera; Geometridae
Source: Rfam by way of RNAcentral
CGUUCUAUUGCCGAUCGCCAAUCACAGGCGAAGGUGCGGGUUCGAAUCCCGCUGGAACGA